UAUUGGUCAAUGGGGGAAACCCUGAACCAGCAACGCCGCGUGAGGGAAGACGGCCUUCGGGUUGUAAACCUAAGUGAUCAGGGACGAAGGAAGUGACGGUACCUGAAAAGCAAGCUCCGGCUAACUACGUGCCAGCAGCCGCGGUAAUACGUAGGGGGCAAGCGUUAUCCGGAUUUACUGGGUGUAAAGGGAGCGUAGACGGUGAAGCAAGUCUGGAGUGAAAACCCGGGGCUUAACCCCGGGAUUGCUUUGGAAACUGUUUAACUGGAGUGCAGGAGAGGUAAGCGGAAUUCCUAGUGUAGCGGUGAAAUGCGUAGAUAUUAGGAGGAACACCAGUGGCGAAGGCGGCUUACUGGACUGUAACUGACGUUGAGGCUCGAAAGCGUGGGGAGCAA
Molecule: ribosomal RNA, 395 nt
Filed under: uncultured bacterium
Lineage: Bacteria
Description: bacterial SSU rRNA
Rfam family: Bacterial small subunit ribosomal RNA
Source: RNAcentral